This is a long non-coding RNA of Aquila chrysaetos chrysaetos, 265 nucleotides long. RefSeq lists it as uncharacterized. The transcript has 3 exons. NCBI's taxonomy places the organism in Eukaryota, Metazoa, Chordata, Aves, Accipitriformes, Accipitridae. The record is from RefSeq and is a predicted model, not a curated record.
ACAAGUGAUGCACAAUGCAAUUGCUUACCACUUGCUGACUGAUGCCCAGUUAGUUCCCGAGCAGUGAUUUCCCCCCCUCAGCCCAGGCCAACUCCUCUCAGUUUAUAUAUUAGGCAUGAUGUCACAUGGUAUGGAAUAUUCCUUUGGCCGUUUUGGGUCAGCAGUCCUGGCAGUGUCCCCUCCCAGCUUCUUGUGCCACUCCUGCCUUCCUGCUGACUGGGCAUGAGAACCUGAAAAAUCCUUGACUUAAGACUAAGCAUUACUU